GACGAACGCUGGCGGCGUGCUUAACACAUGCAAGUCGAGCGGAAAGGCCACUUCGGUGGUACUCGAGCGGCGAACGGGUGGGUAACACGUGAGUAAUCUGCCCCUGGCUUUGGGAUAGCCACCGGAAACGGUGAUUAAUACCGGAUACGACCACUUCUCGCAUGGGAUGGUGGUGGAAAGUUUUUUCGGCCAGGGAUGUGCUCGCGGCCUAUCAGCUUGAUGGUGAGGUAAUGGCUCACCAUGGCUUCGACGGGUAGCCGGCCUGAGAGGGUAACCGGUCACAAUGGGACUGAGACACGGCCCAGACUCCUACGGGAGGAAGCAGUGGGGAAUAUUGGACAAUGGGCGGAAGCCUGAUCCAGCAACGCCGCGUGAGGGAUGACGGCCUUCGGGUUGUAAACCUCUUUCAGCAGGGACGAAGCGCAAGUGACGGUACCUGCAGAAGAAGCACCGGCCAACUACGUGCCAGCCGCCGCAGUAA
RNAcentral lists this ribosomal RNA (481 nucleotides) under uncultured bacterium. RNAcentral describes it as "partial 16S ribosomal RNA". It matches the Rfam family "Bacterial small subunit ribosomal RNA", at positions 28 to 523 of the family's 1533-position model. The record is from RNAcentral.